Molecule: ribosomal RNA, 492 nt
Filed under: uncultured bacterium
Lineage: Bacteria
Description: partial 16S ribosomal RNA
Rfam family: Bacterial small subunit ribosomal RNA
Source: RNAcentral
AGUGAACGCUGGCGGUAGGCCUAACACAUGCAAGUCGAACGGCAGCACAGUAAGAGCUUGCUCUUACGGGUGGCGAGUGGCGGAUGGGUGAGGAAUACAUCGGAAUCUACUUUUUCGUGGGGGAUAACGUAGGGAAACUUACGCUAAUACCGCAUACGACCUACGGGUGAAAGCAGGGGAUCUUCGGACCUUGCGCGAUUGAAUGAGCCGAUGUCGGAUUAGCUAGUUGGCGGGGUAAAGGCCCACCAAGGCGACGAUCCGUAGCUGGUCUGAGAGGAUGAUCGGCCGCACUGGAACUGAGACACGGUCCAGACUCCUACGGGAGGCAGCAGUGGGGAAUAUUGGACAAUGGGCGCAAGCCUGAUCCAGCCAUACCGCGUGGGCGAAGAAGGCCUUCGGGUUGUAAAGCCCUUUUGUUGGGAAAGAAAAGCAGCAGGUUAAUACCCCGCUGUUCUGACGGUACCCAAAGAAUAAGCACCGGCUAACUUCGUG